RNAcentral lists this microRNA precursor (75 nucleotides) under Zonotrichia leucophrys gambelii. Its description in RNAcentral is "microRNA210". It matches the Rfam family "mir-210 microRNA precursor family", at positions 1 to 72 of the family's 96-position model. The record is from RNAcentral. Lineage: Eukaryota; Metazoa; Chordata; Aves; Passeriformes; Passerellidae.
CCUCCAGGAGCAGGUGAGCCACUGACUAACGCACAUUGUGCUCUCGGCGACUCCACUGUGCGUGUGACAGCGGCU